Molecule: small RNA, 439 nt
Filed under: Pan troglodytes (chimpanzee)
Lineage: Eukaryota; Metazoa; Chordata; Mammalia; Primates; Hominidae
Description: processed transcript
Source: RNAcentral
CCCCUUCCAGUGUCAUCCUUUCCUCCUUCCCUGGUUCUUUCCUCUCUCCACUCCCAUCUCACUCCCACUGCCCUUAUCAGGUCUCCCGGAAUGUUCUGGAGCAGAUCACGAGCUUUGCCCUUGGCAUGUCAUACCACUUGCCUCUGGUGCAGCAUGUGCAGUUCAUCUUCGACCUCAUGGAAUAUUCACUCAGCAUCAGUGGCCUCAUCGACUUUGCCAUUCAGCUGCUGAAUGAACUGAGUGUAGUUGAGGCUGAGCUGCUUCUCAAAUCCUCGGAUCUGGUGGGCAGCUACACUACUAGCCUGUGCCUGUGCAUCGUGGCUGUCCUGCGGCACUAUCAUGCCUGCCUCAUCCUCAACCAGGACCAGAUGGCACAGGUCUUUGAGGGGCUGUGUGGCGUCGUGAAGCAUGGGAUGAACCGGUCCGAUGGCUCCUCUGC